This 11248-nucleotide long non-coding RNA is filed under the name Fragaria vesca (wild strawberry). RNAcentral's name for it is "long non-coding RNA (FVES_LNC001405)". Lineage: Eukaryota; Viridiplantae; Streptophyta; Magnoliopsida; Rosales; Rosaceae. The record is from RNAcentral.
UAAUGAGGGAAUUACAGAAAACUUGUAGAAAUGAAUGCUCAAUAAUUAAGCAAUACCCUUUUCAAUAAUUAAGCAGGCUCAUGCUCUAAAUACAAACGAAUUGAAUGCUCAAAUAACAUUGACGCAAUAGUAUUCUGACUAUUCUCUACAUUGAUACUGAUAUACAAAAACAAAAACAAAUAACAUUAAUUCCCUCAUAUAGUGUAAUUUCCUUGAGGGGACUGAAUUUCAGAACAAAAACAUGCAGGUACUGAAGUGACUUUUAUGAGAAAGCCUGCAUUAUCUCUAGUAAUAUGACUCAUAUUUCGGCAGAGAAGGCCUGCAAUAUAUUAUUUCUAGUAAAAUGACUCAUAUUUAUGCUGCCCAGGUGCACGGUUAAGAAAAUAAGUAGGAUGCAGUAACCACUAACCACAACAAAAUUAUCAUUUUUAUGCUCCCGAAUUUGCCAACAUAAAGAAAACAUUGUCUUGAUCAUCAACAGGGUUGGAAGAUCCUUUAUAAGGCAUUAAGUUUGAUUUCAAAUGUUGAAGUAGAGGUGAAUGAUCCACGUUACAAUCAGGAAAUGCAAAACUUGAUUAUCCGAAAGAAUGAUUUAAACAUUCAGGAGAUGAAUCACAAAGCCUUUUCUAUUUGUUUUUGUAACCGAUUAAACUUUGUGCAGCUGUAUCAUCAUUAUCAAAGUUGCAUAAUUUCCAGAAUUCUGAAGCUGGAAUAUCAGACCUCAAAAGCUGCUCUAAGUAGCAACUCAUUAUGUGGUCUGGUGAGUUACCCUCUGUGGAAGAGAUUGAUGUAUCACUACUAGGUUCUGGUUCCACUACCACAUUACCAUUGCCCGACUUUCCCUCUUGCUUUGGUUCAAUCAACAUCAGUUUCAAGAUUUUCGUCAUUAUGUGACUGUUGGUGAACAGCUUUACCAACUUUCAUUAUUCUUGCCGGAUUCGUAUGGACUGCAUCAGAGUCUGUCAACAGCAAAUGGGAGCUCCCAACAGAAGGUUUGUUGUUCCGUUUAUUGUUUUCUGAUAUGCAUUGCUUCUUGCUAUUGAUGAUCUUCCUUCUUCUUAUGACAGUGUUCCAGUGAUUCUUGAUUUCAGUAUCUGUUCUCCCUGGAAGUCUCCUUGAAAUGAGAGACCAUCUGCAGAUGCCAAUAGUCUUUCUUUCAGCACUUACAAAAUCAAUCCACAAAGAAGAAACAAAAUACCUGAAGAUGAAGGCAGUGGUAGACCUGUUGCCUAAGAGCUUGUGGAGUCUCAUGAUGAGGUCUUCGUCCUCCGGUGAGAUAUUGCCCCUCUUGAUAUUGGAUCUUAGAUAGUUUAGCCACCGCACCCUGCAACUUUUCCCGCAUCUCUUGAGACCUGGAUCCGUUAUAACAUCUUCACUAAUUUUUGUUCCAUGUAAACUAUAAUCCAUUGUCUUGGUAUAAAAAUUUCUUACCUGUUUCCUUUGAAACUUUGCUCCACUUUCCUUCGCCGUGAGUUUCGACAUAAUCUACAAGGAUAUUGUCCUCUUGUGUAGUCCAAGCUCCUGUAUUCAUGUCGAUCUGAACUCUCUUCUCUCUCUCUUACACACUGAACCACACAUUUAUACACAAACAAAAUGUUUGGUUAUGCAUGCUACAGGUCUUUAGAAACUCCCCUGGAUUUUUAUACAGUGUUAGGAUCUCUGUCUUUCUCUUCAAAUUCAUUACAUCACGUUCAAAAUUAAGAGUUCGGUUAACUUUCUACGUACAUUGAAUAAUGAUUUCCAUUCAUCUUUGAAAUUGGUUUAUAAAUAUAGCAAGUGGAGAUUAAACUGGCGGAAAGAGACAUGCCGUCUGGUCCUGUACAUAUUUUAGAGCAAGAGCUUCUUGUAGUUCUGAACAUGUUUGAUUAGUGGUUGCCACAACCAACUUUCUUCUGAUUUGGACACAUGCAGUUAGGGCUGCUUGCUUUGUUAGCUUCCAGACCAAUUGAUUUGAAUAGAGGAGAAGAAGAAGAAUAUUCAACGUGCAUGAAAGGACUUCUGUUCAUGUUACAAUAUACAAUAGGGUGAUGAUAGGAUGCAUAUGAUUUCAAGAAGGCUGAUUAUAUGAGGAUUGGAACGUGCUUGUUUGCAUGUGUGUAUAUUAGGCAGCUUUGCCCAACAUUUUUCUAUUGUUGUUGAAGCCACAUAUAUAUGCUUUGAUACCGAAUCUGUGAUGACUAGCUAUGUAACAACAAUUGCUAGGUGUAGGCUGCCAUUUAACACAAAAAAGCAUUAUUUUGUUUGUUACGACGGUAAACACAAAAAUUCUUGUAAUGAAUAACAGAAAGACACAUGUACAAAAUAAUAUAUUUGUAUUGAUUGAAUUUACGGGUUACAAUCUCUGUGGGUAUUCUUUUAACAAGAAUGUCUUUUGAUCCGAUCUUCGACAUUGAUUUGAUCCAAGGGUGACAAGCACUUGAUCUUAAAUUGAACUGUUGUAGUUUGAACUUAUUAUCGUAUUGCCGAUUUGUAAAAGGAAGUUGACCAAGGGCCGUAGAGGCUUGAUCUUGAUUGAAUUUGGGCCGAGAGAGGUGUCACGUGGUGAACGUUCUUUAGCUUGAUAGCGGAUGAAUCAACACGUGUGUUUGGUGCUUGUUGGUUCUCCACGAGCUUAUUGAAGAACUUGGUAAAAGUUUUGAUUUGUUGAAAGGCUUGAAGACGAGGGUUGAUCAAGGGCUGUAGAGGCUUGACGUUGAUCGGGUUUAGGCCACGAGCAGUUCCACGUGGUGGUUGCUCUUCGUCUUGUAGUUGGUGAAGAUGUUGGUUAUUUGGCAACUUGGGACUCUUUGGGAUUUGACAACUUCUAGGCUUGAGGUUGAUGAAGAAUCGGCUAUUUGGCAGCUUGAUAAUUCUUCAAGGGUUUUGGGAGAAUUCUGAGCUCUCGGGAGUAAUUUUUCUCUCUUGUCCGAAAGUCCUUUUCUUGAUAUGAGAGGGGGGUAUUUAUAGUGUCAAUGUUCCUCCGUUUGUGGAAUGUUUUGAAGACACCGUUUUAAUUGUAUUUCCUUAAGGGUAUAAUUAAAUUAAUCAGUCUUGAUUGAUUGAUCUAAUUAUAAUUAUUAACAUAAUUAAAUCAAUCAGUAUUUAUUGAUUGAUUCGAUUAUGACCGAUAAGGUAUUUUGCAAAUUUAAUUAAAUGUUCGACUUCCUUUCUUAUAAUCAAUUUAAAUUGAAAUUUGAUUAUCGAUUGACAUUUAAUAUUUGCUUUUAGUCGGGAUUGAUGAUUUUUGUUGUCGACCGACCAUUCACAUGUCGUCACAUGUCAUUUCCGAAGACUUUUCAACUUUCCCGACUCAUGAACCACAUAUGCAAUUUGUCGGGACCAUGUGUUAUAUGAAUAAUCUAAUAAUUAUUAUUCUCAUUAAAUUUUAUGCAUCUACAAUUGCCCCCACUUCAAGGUGUAGUCGUGUUGCCUUCACGUGUCGGAGGUGCGGCUUGAAGUCCAUACUUUUGACGUGGACAAUUCUGGGCCAACUUCUUGGGCUUCAAUGUAUGUGGGAAUUCAUUUUAAUUUGUAGGAAUCCCGAAUUUGUAGGGACUCCUAAAUUUGCAAGGAUUCCCUAUAUAUGUGGGCAUUCCUUAAAAUUUACAGAAUGUCCAAAUUUGUAGAGAUUUCUUAAAUUUGCAAGGAUCCUUACAUAUUUUAUUUAAUUCAGCAGAGAUUUUCGAACACCAAAUAUAAAUGGAAAUAAAUCUUAGAUAUAUUACUUUCUCGAUUUGAUUGAUUGUUUGCAAGAUUUCCCACAAUAAAUGAUUUCGGACACCAAAUAAUUUGAGGCUAUAUGGCGGGAAAUCUUUGAUUCCCUCCAUAAUUUUCUAGUCUCAACUAGGUAAUUACCGGUGUAGCAAUACCUAGGGCUUCAAUAUAAAUUAGGGUUCCGAGUUUGAACACAUCCAUCCCCAUAUCGACUGCCUCAAGGUUCUCGUCCCCCCGUUACUGUGAUGUUUUCUGCUUUUCUUUCCUCUUGAUUUGACUGUGUUGGCUUUGUCUAAAACUCUAAAUCACCGAUCCUUCUGGUAUUAGUUUUAUUUUUAUUUUUAUUGCAGAUCACAGAACACAAUUGAAUUGCCCUCAAGUUGUAGGCGGAGAAGACCCUUGGCCUUGAUAGGACAGCAACAAAACAUAAGGUACUCUACGUACCUAAUUUUUUCUUCAAUUCUUUUCGUUUGAUAUUCUGAUGCUUCUAUGGAUUUCUAGGUUGCCCAGCAAAACUAAAUUGCCCCCUAAGUCACUCUGAAGAGACCUUUCGACACAGAAAAAAUUGAUUGAGGUAUUACCUUGGCUUAAAUUAUUCUUGGACUAAUCCUCUGACCCUUUUUGAAAGGCAAAAUUGACCAUUUGCCAAAGCUAAUGGCACUCAUGCAUGCACGUGGGUGAUCUUUAAUCACCUUGAAUACUCUUCUUAAUUCCCAUGGCAGCACCUCUUCUCCUUCAUUUUUAUUUACGCAGCAACCCUUUUCUUUUUUUUCUUUUUUCAGACUUUGGUAAUAAUUCGGUGGUAAUUGAAGAACGCGAACACCUAACCGCUUGAUUUGUUCCACUUCUUUGAUGUGGGAUAAGUCGUUCAAAGUGUUUAGGCUUUUCGUACCUUGGCGGCAAUUGAAAAACGCGAACACCUAACCAUUUGAUUUCUUCCAUCUCUUAGUCGUGGGAUUAAUAAUCGCUCAAAGUGUUUAGGCUUUGCGUACCUUGAUGGCAAUUGAAGAAUGCAAACACCUAACCGCUUGAUUUUUUUUCACCUCUUAGACGUGGGAUUAAUCGCUCAAAGUGUUUAGGCAUGCGUACCUUGAUGGCAAUUGAAGAACGCGAACACCUAACUAUUUGAUUUCUUCCACCUCUUAGACGUGGGAUUGAUCGCUCAAAGUGUUUAGGCUUUGUGUACCUUGAAGAUAAUAUGAAGAACACGAAAACCUAAACUCUUGAUUUGUUCCACCUCCUAGACGUUAGAUAAAUCAUUUAAAAGUGUUUAGGCUUUGCGUACCGUGAAGACAAUCUGAAGAGCGUGAAAACCUAUGUAAUACCCCGGAAAUUUGUUAUUAGUUUCUAAUAAUAAUUGGGAAUUUUCGAGUUUAAGUUAGUGUGUUUUGAGGUUCGAAGGAAGAUUGGAAGUGUUCGGAUGCAUAAGUUACCCGAAACGAUAUUUUGGUUUUGAAGGGUCAAGAGUUGACUUUCUAAUCUGUUGGGUUUCUCGAGAAACUUCCUUACGAAAGUUGUAGAGCACGAUGAUACGAGUUCGUAGACACGUGGCACGCAUAAAACGGACUUCGUAUGAGAAAGUUAUGGUCAGCAGAAGUUCAUGGCUUUACGAGAAUUUGGGGUUAAAUAAGAAAAGUUUAGGGUUUCCAUUUCAUUUUCCGGAACCCAUUUCUUCUCUCUUUUCCUUCUCUCUCGCGCCUCACCCUCAUUGUCCGAAAAUCCCUUUCGACCCGACCCAAACCCGGCCGACCCGACCCGACUUUUUCGGCCACCUCGGACCGACCUAGACGCCGGCACCGGUUGGGUUUUCUUCCUCUCCUCCGUCCGAGCUGCCUUGUGGUGGUGGCUUGCGCCGAUUCUCAGCGGUGUGUGCGAUUCGAAGCUUGGAUGUUCGGGUUAGAGACCCGAACGAAAUUCUCACCUCCGGCGGUGGCGACGCAGCUUGGAACCGGUCGGGAUAGAUGCUCCUUGGCGUCCUGGUUUUUUUUCUGGUAGUCUUCUAGUGCGACUCACGGCGGAGAGUGACGGUGGUGGAUUCCAAACUUUCAAGCGAGUUUCCAGUGUUUUCCUACCGAUUCCAGCCGAAUUGGUUCAACCGUCAGGUAUAAAAGUUGUUUCCCUUUCUUCAAUCUACAAGUUUGCUGUUGGAAGUUUGUUGAGAUUUUGAAGUUGCUGGGGUGGCGCGUGGGGCCCACUCGUCGCCGUCUAUGGUGGAACGUGGCGGCGCGUCCGACAGGGGUUGGGAGGUUAGGAGUAACUGUUAGCUUAUGUUCGUCGAUACAAGCACGUUGACAUAUCAUGAGGUUAUGUUAUGAUCAAGUUUUGCAUCCUAGGUUUAAGAGAAUCGUGAGAGAUUGUUAAGCUUUGGUGUUUGAGCUUUGAAAUUCUUGUUAGCUAUUUCAAUAGGUUGGUUAAGGGUUCCUAUGACCUUGGGAGGUCUCGGAAGAAGGUUGUCCCUUUUUGGGCAAAUCUUAGGUUAAGGCUUGUUAAGGGUGCAAUGUUCUUUUUGUUUAAGUGGUUAUUAAAGUUAUUAAUUGUGUUAAAUAGGUAGCGUGUGGAGUUGAUAUUUAAGCUUGGCUCUUGUGUUGUGUUGAAGACACAGCGGGAAUUUAGGUGAGUAAAAUCUCACCAAGGUUCACUUUGUGACAUAUUUAUUUAUGGUUAUUAUGAUGAUGAUAAUUAUUAUGAUGAUGAUUAUGAUGAUGAAAAUGUUGAUGAUGAAGAUUUAAAAACUAUGUUUUUCUUUUUGCUUGUUUUAAAAUAUAUGAGUUUAAUCGCCAACGACUCAUAGGUAAGAAAAAACAAGUUUUUAUAUUUAAAUGAUUAUUUUUAAGGUUCUUGUGAUCAUAAUAUUUUAGUUCUUGGUAGAUUAUUCUUGUGGGAAUAUCUAUGAUUGUUCAUAUAAAUAUAUCUAUGUGGAAGAAUAUAAUUUUUAUGAUGUGCUCUUUGUGUUGUUGAUGAUGAUAUUAUUAUAUUGUGAGUAAAUCUCACAUGGGUUCAUAAAGAAAUCGAGUUUAUUUUAUAGUUUAUUAUUGCUAAUUGUGAAGUUGUCCUUGAAAUGAAAUGAUUUUGUUUUUAAAUAUAAAUGAGCUUGAUCGUCAACGGCUCAUGGGUAAGUAAAAAUAUUUUUCUGAUAAAAAUAAAAUAUUUCAAAAGAACUUCUGAUCAUGGGUUAUUAGUUGUCGAUGUGUGUGUCUUAGUGGUAAUUGUGUGCAUUAGUUGUGGAACAGUGCCUUAGUGGUGAACUGGUGAUUGUGUGCAUUAGUUGUGGAUGUGUGUGUCUUAAUGAUGAUUGUGUGCAUUCGUUGUGGAAUGUGCCUUAGUAGUGAUUGUGUGUCUUAGUUGUGAAUGUGUGCCUUAGUGGUGAUUGUAUGCAUUAGUUGUGGAUGUGUGUCUUAGUGGUGAUUGUGUGCAUUAGAUUAGGAGUCUUCGUGGUGGACCGGGAACCAAGCCUUGGCCGGGUGAUUGAUUACGGUCAGUAUAGAGCUCUAGUUUGUCUGUCGGUACUUCAUGGGGGAUGACUAAGUGUCAACGAACCCAUGCGUACGCGUUUGUUUGGUUACUUAUGAGGGAUGACUAAGUGUUGACGAACUCAUAAGUAAGAGUAGAGAAAUGAUUAUGUGAUGUUCUUAUGUGUUGUCAUUUAAAUUCCUUGCUUUGAGUAUCUCCUGAACUAUGCUUAUCCGCAGGAGAUUCUAAAUCUUUACUUGUGAUUUUUAGUGAAUUCCUGAACUACAUUUUUUUGCAGGAUUCAUUUAUGAUUUUAAUUAUUUGUGGAUGGUUGUGUUUUCUUAUUUACUCUAUUUUAAAUUCUCUCAUUUUUAGGCAAUUCCUGAACUAAGUUUAUAAGCAAGAAUUACUGAUGUUUAUCUUGUGAUGUUAGGUUGAGUUCUUUAAUGUAGAUUUACUCAUAUGAGCUUUUAAAGCUUACCGAGUUUGUUGUUUACAACCCGGUACACCAAUCCAGGGUGUAGAGGUUGAUUUUGCAGGUCAGGUUUAGCAGAGUUAAGGCUGCGGCAAUUAGGUAAUUUUUCUUUUUGUUUACUUUCUAGUUGUUGUGAGUAUUGAGAGAGUUUUACUUUGUUCAAAAUUAUUUUCCACAAGUUGUAAAACUAAAUUGUUGUAGUGAUUGUUUUUCUUUUUUGGUUAUUAUGCCUUGAAUUUGAAAUUUUUUAUUUAUCCAAAAUUUAGGGUGUGACAACCUAAACGCUUGAUUUGUUCCACUUUCUGAAAGCGGGAGGAAUCACUUAAAGUGCUUAGGCUCUACGUAUUUUUCGACCGCGCAAGGAAGAGUAGAAAUCCUGAGAUUGCACAAAGUCAUCCUCUUUCAAGUUUUGUAUGUCUCUUCUUUAACAUGGAAAACACUUCGAGCAAAUUCAUUUCCUUGUUUUGAUAUGGCAGUACUCUAUACAACCCGAGCAAACUCAUUUUCUUACUUUGUUAUGACUGGACUUAGAAGCAUCUUCCAAGCUGCCUACGUACUCUUACGAGAAAGAGAUCAAGUCACGACGUAGUUCAAGGAUUUUUUUAUAUUUUUUUAGGUGUCGUACGCAGUUUAUGCUCGUGGGGGCAAGGAGCAUUUUUUUUUUUGUGCCUUGUGCAGUUGAGGCUCAUGCAGGCUAGGAGUUGUUUUUUUUUUUCUUUUUUUUGGUUGUCAUUUGCAAUUUAAGCUCGUGCAGACAAGGAGCGAUAAUUUUUUUUUGUUUUUUGUUUUUUUUUGUGUGUCAUUCGCAGUUUAAACUAGUGCGGACAAGAAACAUUUUGACUCUUGAGUGGUCUACAUAAAUUUAGACGGGUUGCAUGCCCCUAACAAAGGUGUUGAGGACACCACUUCAAGGUGUUCAAAAAAGAUGGUUGCAUAAUUUGACUAAGCCACGUCAUCUUCAACAUCUAAACAUAUCUUUCCUUGUUGUGCUAGCUUCAUGAUGAGGUCUUUCAAGACGAAGCCCUUCUCCAGGAUGACCGAUGACACGGUGGUACUUGUAAUACUUAGGAUCAUUGACACGAUGCAUCUCUUCUGGACGCUUGCAGUCUGGCAAUUUGAUUAGUUCUUUUUCAAGCAAGUUUUCCAACAUCUCAACAACAUCGAAAUCUGGAAAAGGGUAACUUUUAGCUUCCAAGUCAUUUAGAGUUUGCCUCCUUGCUUGAUCUUGCAGGAGUUGUACUGAUUGCCAAAGACUCUUGAUUCUCUGGUUCUAUGAUGUCACAUUUUCUUUGGCCAUGACUAGCCAAACUGAGUUCCAUGUCAUGAGCUCGGGUAGCAAGUUCUUCAAAGGUGCGAGGCUUUAUCCCUUGAAAAAUGUACAACAAAUCCCAAUGCAUGCCUUGAAUACACAUCUAUACCGCUGACAAUUUUAAGAGUCGGUCUUUGCAGUCGAGACUUAGUGUACGCCAACGAUUGAUGAACUCUACAGCAGGCUCGCCAUUUUGUUGUUUGGUGUUGGUGAGCUCUAACAUACUCACCAUGCGACGUGUGUUGAAGAAGUGGUUCAAGAACUCCUUUUCCAUUUGCUCCCAGCUGUCAAUGAAUUCAGGCUCCAAGUCUGUAAACCAUUUAAACUCCGUGCCUUGGAGUGAGCGAACAAAUUGCUUCACAAGAUGAUCACCAUCGGUGCCAGUGUUGUUGCAUGUUUCGAUGAAAUGUGCGAUGUGUUGCUUUGGGUUACAUUUGCCAUCAAAUUGUUAAAACUUGGGAGGUUGGUAACCAGUUGACAUUCUCAAAUUGUCUAGCCGCUUGGUGUAAGACUUGGAAUACGUUAGUGUAUCUCGAGGCGAACCACCAUAUUGAGCUUUGAUUGUCUUGGCAAUCAUGUCUUGAAGCUGUUGAACUAACAAUGAAGCUAGGAUGGAAUUUGAUUCUCCUUUUUGCUCGGAAGAUGAUCCACUAGACUUGUCUUUCUUAUCGCCAUGAAGGUUAUUCUCCGAGUCAUUGUCGUGGUGAACUUCUAGCUUCUCCAUGAGUGAUGCAAUUUCUACAUCCUUCUCUUCAAUGGUCUUUUGGAGCUUCUUCACCGCUUCAGUCAACUGGGCUAUUUGGGCCGCUUGUUCUUCCAUGUUGAUCACUUCUAUCACCAUGACUUGCAUGGCGCAAGAGUCGUCUUCUAGAAUCGCUUCAAUUUGAUUGUCAAGAUGCAAUUCCAAGUGUGGACAUAUCUUCGAAUCAACUUUGGUUGUGGGCGAAGGAGAAUGUUUCCUCGAGUUGCCUGACGAUGUUAAAAGUCUUUGCUUCGUGAGGUUUGCCACCAUUGUUGUCCAAACGUCGAUCAGCUGAAACUGCUUUGAGGAAUGAAGGUUGAAUGUUGUGAGUUGAAAUGACUCACUAUGAGCAACAUGAUCGCUAAGGUUUCUACUGCUUUUCAGAGUAGCUAUAUAGCUACCUUGUUGGUCUUGUUUUUCGAUUUGAUUUGCACCAUCUUUGAAGCCAUGUGAUGAGGAUGGCGAGAUUGUCGGAGGAGGAGAUGAGAGGCAGAGAUGGUCUCACUGGGCGUGCCAAUUUUGUAAACACGAAAAUUUCUGUAACGAAUAACAGAAAGACAUGUGUACAAAAUAAUAUAUUUGUAUUGAUUGAAUUUGCGGGUUACAAUCUCUGUGGGUAUUCUUUUAACAAGAAUGUCCUCUGAUUCGAUCUCCAUCGUUGAUUUGAUCCAAGGGUGACGAGCACUUGAUCUUGAAUUGAACUGUUGUAGUUUGAACUUCUUAUCGUGUUGACGAUUUGUAGAAGGAAGUUGACCAAGGGCCGUAGAGGCUUGAUCUUGGUCGAAUUUGGGUCGAGAAAGGUGUCACGUGGUGAACGUUCUUCGGCUUGAUAGCGGAUGAAUCGGCACGUGUGUUUGGUGCUUGUUGAUUCUCCAACAGCUUGUUGAAGAACUUGGUAAAAGUUUUGAUUUGUUGAAAGGCUUGAAGACGAGGGUUGAUCAAAGGCCGUAGAGGCUUGACAUUGAUCGGGUUUGGGCCACGAGCAGUUCCACGUGGUGGUUGCUCUUCGUCUUGUAGUUGGUGAAGAUGUCGGCUAUUUGACAAUUUGGGACUCUUCGGGAUUUGACAACUUCUAGGUUUGAGGUUGAUGAAGAAUCGACUAUUUGACAGCUUGAUAAUUCUUCAAGGGUUCUGGGAGAAUUCUGAGCUCUCGAGAGUAAUUUUUCUCUCUUGUCCGGAAGUCCUCUUCUUGAUAUGAGAGAGGGGUAUUUAUAGUGUCGACGUUCCUCCGUUUAUGGAAUGUUUUGAAGACAGUGUUUUAAUUGUAUUUCCUUAACAGUAUAAUUAAAUCAAUCAGUUUUGAUUGAUUGAUCUAAUUAUAAUUAUUAACAUAAUUAAAUCAGUCUGUAUUUAUUGAUUGAUUCGAUUAUGACUGAUAAAGUAUUUUGCUAAUUUGAUUAAAUGUUCGACUUCCUUUCCGAUAAUCAAUUUAAUUUGAUUGAAAUUUGAUUAUCGAUUGACAUUUAAUAUUUACUUUUAGUCGGAAUUGAUGAUUUUUGUUGUCGACUGAUCAUUCACACGUGACCACAUGUCAUUUUCGAAGACUUUAUAAUUUUUCCAACUGACGAACCACAUAUGC